GAUAGCAUGGCCUAGUGGUUUGAGUGUUGGACCAGGACUCCAGAGACCAGGAUUUGAUUCCCUGCCUGGCAGCG
Molecule: non-coding RNA, 74 nt
Organism: Phrynosoma platyrhinos (Desert horned lizard)
Lineage: Eukaryota; Metazoa; Chordata; Lepidosauria; Squamata; Phrynosomatidae
Source: the annotation of a GenBank genome assembly